This 73-nucleotide transfer RNA is filed under the name Escherichia coli. RNAcentral's name for it is "tRNA-Tyr". It matches the Rfam family "tRNA", at positions 10 to 71 of the family's 71-position model. From Rfam's summary of the family: Transfer RNA (tRNA) molecules are approximately 80 nucleotides in length. Their secondary structure includes four short double-helical elements and three loops (D, anti-codon, and T loops). Lineage: Bacteria; Pseudomonadati; Pseudomonadota; Gammaproteobacteria; Enterobacterales; Enterobacteriaceae. The record is from RNAcentral.
CCCGAGCGGCCAAAGGGAGCAGACUGUAAAUCUGCCGUCAUCGACUUCGAAGGUUCGAAUCCUUCCCCCACCA